RNAcentral lists this transfer RNA (54 nucleotides) under Dipodomys ordii (Ord's kangaroo rat). The record is from Rfam by way of RNAcentral. Lineage: Eukaryota; Metazoa; Chordata; Mammalia; Rodentia; Heteromyidae.
GGGUAGGUGGCUCAGUGGUAGAGUGCUUGCCUUGCAUGCAUGAGGCCCUGUCCU